RNAcentral lists this ribosomal RNA (492 nucleotides) under uncultured bacterium. RNAcentral's name for it is "partial 16S ribosomal RNA". It matches the Rfam family "Bacterial small subunit ribosomal RNA", at positions 29 to 507 of the family's 1533-position model. The record is from RNAcentral.
AGUGAACGCUGGCGGUAGGCCUAACACAUGCAAGUCGAACGGCAGCACAGUAAGAGCUUGCUCUUACGGGUGGCGAGUGGCGGACGGGUGAGGAAUACAUCGGAAUCUACUUUUUCGUGGGGGAUAACGUAGGGAAACUUACGCCAAUACCGCAUACGACCUACGGGUGAAAGCAGGGGAUCUUCGGACCUUGCGCGAUUGAAUGAGCCGAUGUCGGAUUAGCUAGUUGGCGGGGUAAAGGCCCACCAAGGCGACGAUCCGUAGCUGGUCUGAGAGGAUGAUCAGCCACACUGGAACUGAGACACGGUCCAGACUCCUACGGGAGGCAGCAGUGGGGAAUAUUGGACAAUGGGCGCAAGCCUGAUCCAGCCAUACCGCGUGGGUGAAGAAGGCCUUCGGGUUGUAAAGCCCUUUUGUUGGGAAAGAAAAGCAGCAGGUUAAUACCCCGCGGUUCUGACGGUACCCAAAGAAUAAGCACCGGCUAACUUCGUG